ACCUACGGGACGCAGCAGUGGGGAAUAUUGGACAAUGGGGGAAACCCUGAUCCAGCGACGCCGCGUGAGUGAAGAAGUAUUUCGGUAUGUAAAGCUCUAUCAGCAGGGAAGAAAAUGACGGUACCUGACUAAGAAGCCCCGGCUAACUACGUGCCAGCAGCCGCGGUAAUACGUAGGGGGCAAGCGUUAUCCGGAUUUACUGGGUGUAAAGGGAGCGUAGACGGCAUUGCAAGUCUGAUGUGAAAACCCGGGGCUCAACUCCGGGAGUGCAUUGGAAACUGUUGAUCUAGAGUGUCGGAGAGGCA
RNAcentral lists this ribosomal RNA (305 nucleotides) under uncultured bacterium. Its description in RNAcentral is "bacterial SSU rRNA". It matches the Rfam family "Bacterial small subunit ribosomal RNA", at positions 337 to 659 of the family's 1533-position model. The record is from RNAcentral.